RNAcentral lists this ribosomal RNA (1337 nucleotides) under uncultured bacterium. Its description in RNAcentral is "bacterial SSU rRNA". It matches the Rfam family "Bacterial small subunit ribosomal RNA", at positions 8 to 1360 of the family's 1533-position model. The record is from RNAcentral.
AGAGUUUGAUUUUGGCUCAGGACGAACGCUGGCGGCGUGCUUAACACAUGCAAGUUGAACGGUAUGUCAUGGAAGCUUGCUGAAGUGACAUAUAGUAGCGAACGGGUGAGUAAUGCAUGAGAAUUUAUCCUUAGGAGGGGGACAACAGCUGGAAACGGCUGCUAAUACCCCGUAUGCCGGAAGGUGAAAGGUGCGAGAGUGCCGCCUGGGGUUGAGCUCAUGUCCUAUCAGCUAGUUGGUGGGGUAACGGCCUACCAAGGCGACGACGGGUAGCCGGCCUGAGAGGGUGAACGGCCACACUGGAACUGAGACACGGUCCAGACUCCUACGGGAGGCAGCAGUGGGGAAUUUUGGGCAAUGGGGGAAACCCUGACCCAGCGACGCCGCGUGAGGGAAGACGGCCUUCGGGUUUUAAACCUCUUUUGUACGGGAAGAUAAUGACGGUACUGUACGAAUAAGUCCCGGCUAACUACGUGCCAGCAGCCGCGGUAAUACGUAGGGGACGAGCGUUGUCCGGAAUUACUGGGCGUAAAGGGCGCGCAGGCUGCGUUACAAGUCAGCUGUUAAAUGCAUGGGCUUACCCCAUGAGUGCGGUUGAAACUGUAGUGCUAGAGUACUGUAGAGGCAAGCGGAAUUCCCAGUGUAGCGGUGAAAUGCGUAGAUAUUGGGAGGAACACCGGUGGCGUAGGCGGCUUGCUGGACAGUAACUGACGCUGAGGCGCGAAAGCCAGGGGAGCAAAAAGGAUUAGAUNCCCCGGUAGUCCUGGCCGUAAAGAAGAAAUGCUAGGUGUGGGUGUAGCGAAACAUCUGUCCCGUAGUUAACGCGUUAAGCAUUCCCCCUGGGGAGUACGAUCGCAAGAUUGAAAUUCAAAGGAAUUAACGGGAGCCCGCACAAGCAGUGGAGUAUGUGGUUUAAUUCGAUGCAACGCGGAGAACCUUACCUGAAUUUGACAUCCUCAUAAAAGCCCAAUAAAAAGGCGUAAUGCCCUUCGGGGAAAUGAGAGACAGGUGGUGCAUGGUUGUCGUCAGCUCGUGUCGUGAGAUGUUUGGUUAAGUCCAGCAACGAGCGCAACCCCUAUUAUCGGUUGCUACUCAUGCUUUAGGCAUGAGAGAACUCCGGUGAGACUGCCGUUGACAAAACGGAGGAAGGUGGGGAUGACGUCAAAUCAUCAUGCCCCUUACGUUCAGGGCUACACACGUACUACAAUGGCGCAAACAAAGGGAAGCGAAGGCGCGAGCCGGAGCGGACCCCGUAAAAGGCGUCUCAGUUCGGACUGCAGGCUGCAACUCGCCUGCACGAAGUCGGAAUUGCUAGUAAUCGCGGAUCAGAAUGCCGC